AGAUUAUUGUAAUAAAAAUUUAAAGUUUAAUUAAUAAAUUUAAUUAUAGUUUUGAAGUUAGUUUAAAAAUUUAUUUAUAUAUAAUUUUUAGGGGUUAAUAUUAAAAAUAACAUAGGUGUAGUAUAUAAAAUUAAUAAUAUUAAAUAAAUUUAAUUUUAGAAAUUUUUUUUUAUUUAGAUAAAUAAUUGUGCCAGCAAUCGUGGUUAAACAAUUUAAAUAAAUUAAUUUUAUUAAGUUAAAAUAAAAUAUAGUUUUGGUAAUAAAUAAUAAAAUUAUUAGGUGAAAUUAAUUAAUUUUAUUAAAAUUAUAAAAUUUAUAAUUGAAUUUUUAAGGGAUUUUAAAAAAACUAGGAUUAGAUACCCUAUUAUAAAUUUUAAAUAUAAAAAUUUUAAUAUUAAAUGGUAAAUCAUUAAAUUUAAAUAAUUUGGCGGUAUUUUAAUUUUAUUAGAGGAAUUUGUUAAUUAAUUGAUAUUACUCGAUAAGUUAAACUUAAAUAAAAUUUUUAUAUUGUUGUUUWAAGAGUAUUUUUGAAGGAAUUAUUCAAAUUAUUAAUGAAAUAAUAAUUCAGAUCAAAAUGAAGUGUAUAUUUAAGAAUUAAUGAAUUACAAUAAAUUUAAUUUAUAUGAAUUAAAAAUUUAAAAAUUUUUAUGAAGGUGGAUUUAAAAGUAAAAUAAAAUAAUUAUUUUAUUUGAUUUAAAUUUUAAGAUAUGUACAAAUUGCCCGUCGUUCUCUUUGAAAAAGGAGGUAAGUCGUAACAAAGUAAAAGUACUGGAAAGUGUUUUUAGA
RNAcentral lists this non-coding RNA (786 nucleotides) under Chrysis rutiliventris. Lineage: Eukaryota; Metazoa; Arthropoda; Insecta; Hymenoptera; Chrysididae. The record is from RNAcentral.